UACGUAGGGGGCGAGCGUUGUCCGGAAUCAUUGGGCGUAAAGAGCUCGUAGGUGGCGUGUCGCGUCUGCCGUGAAAGCCCAUGGCUUAACUGUGGGUCUGCGGUGGAUACGGGCAGGCUGGAGGCUGGUAGGGGCAAGCGGAAUUCCUGGUGUAGCGGUGAAAUGCGCAGAUAUCAGGAGGAACACCGGUGGCGAAGGCGGCUUGCUGGGCCAGUUCUGACGCUGAGGAGCGAAAGCGUGGGGAGCGAACAGG
RNAcentral lists this ribosomal RNA (253 nucleotides) under uncultured bacterium. RNAcentral's name for it is "partial 16S ribosomal RNA". It matches the Rfam family "Bacterial small subunit ribosomal RNA", at positions 524 to 776 of the family's 1533-position model. The record is from RNAcentral.